CACGUAAGUAUUCAGCCUCUAUAGGUAUCUACUCAAGAUCAGCCUGGAAUAGUUCUCUAUGGUGUUGAUCUUUCUUCUACAAGAAUGAUCACCUUGUGAAUUUGAACGAAGUCUGGAUCAUGAUCAACUCUUUGAUUCUUUCUUUGAUGUUUUUCUUCUCUUUUUUUUUUGCUCUCCUUUUCCUCAUUAUGAAGCAACUAAGGUCUAAAAAUAAGUAAGCAAGAAGGGACACCCAAACACCUUUCGGGCAUGG
This 253-nucleotide long non-coding RNA is filed under the name Elaeis guineensis (African oil palm). RNAcentral describes it as "long non-coding RNA (EGUI_LNC061939)". The record is from RNAcentral. Lineage: Eukaryota; Viridiplantae; Streptophyta; Magnoliopsida; Arecales; Arecaceae.